GACUAACGCUGUCGGUAUGCCUUAUACAUGCAAGUCGAACGGAAAGGUCUCUUCGGAGAUACUCGAGUGGCGGACGGGUGAGUAACACGUAGGAAUCUGCCCCAGAGCGGGGGACAACCAGAAGAAAUUCUGGCUAAUACCCCAUACGCCGAAAGGUAAAAGAAUUUCACUUUGGGAGGAGCCUGCGCUUGAUUAGCUUGUUGGUGUGGUAAAAGCACACCAAGGCGACGAUCAAUAGCUGGUCUGAGAGGAUGAUCAGCCACAAUGGGACUGAGAUACGGCCCAUACUCCUACGGGAGGCAGCAGUAGGGAAUCUUGCGCAAUGGACGAAAGUCUGACGCAGCAAUACCGUGUGCGGGAAGACGCUCCGUGGAGUGUAAACCGCUGUCAGGUGGGACGAAAUUUUGACUGUACCAUCAAAGGAAGCACCGGCUAACUCUG
This 441-nucleotide ribosomal RNA is filed under the name uncultured cyanobacterium. RNAcentral describes it as "bacterial SSU rRNA". It matches the Rfam family "Bacterial small subunit ribosomal RNA", at positions 28 to 505 of the family's 1533-position model. Lineage: Bacteria; Bacillati; Cyanobacteriota. The record is from RNAcentral.